RNAcentral lists this long non-coding RNA (1221 nucleotides) under Mustela putorius furo (domestic ferret). Its description in RNAcentral is "lncRNA (ENSMPUG00000028153.1)". Lineage: Eukaryota; Metazoa; Chordata; Mammalia; Carnivora; Mustelidae. The record is from RNAcentral.
CUGUCCUGAAUAAAACGUUUCUGUGCUUCCUCUUCCUACAGGGCAUUGUGUGGCCUGGCCCUGGUGUCUCCAACUCCAUCUGGCCUCUCUUUUCUACUUUUGUCUGCACUGUACCUAUCCUUGUCUUAACUGGGGCUGCCUCUGCCAAGAAUGUUCUUCUCCCCCUACUUGAUUCACCAUUUUACCAGGUAUAUUUUACAGUCAAAUGGCCGUGCAUUUUUGGUUGUGUGAAAUCAAUGUGGCUAAAACCUACUCUGCCCUUCUCGAAAUCCCAAAGGAAAUGUACUUUGUCUUUGGUUCCCUGAAUCAGUUAAUCCGGUGUGGUGAUUGUCUUCUUCCAUUAUACCAGUAAGACAAUAGCAACUGCAUAAUUCAUGUGAAGCAAGUUAUUCAGCCCCCAAAAGUAAAUUGCUCACAGUAAAGGAGAAACAUUGCUUUUUAUUAUUUUUCCAUAUAACCUGGUAUUAUUGCAUUGAAGAUAAACUGCCUCAAAUUCCAAUUUGCCAAACCAGAAUACUCUAAUAAAAGCAAGAUCUGUCAGGUGGCCAGAUUUAGCCUUUUCAUUACUUUGAAUCACUGGCAAAUAUGAAAAUUUUCUAAUAUAGUAAUAUUUUCAUUUCACAUUCUGUUCUGAACUGUGACUUGGGAAAAGUACAAGACCUCUAGAUCCAAUUUUGUCAUGUGGAAUGUUGUCCAUUUUGUUGUUCAUCAGUUUUUUUUUUUAAUGUUUCCCCAAAACACGAAUGACCUUUUAAGAGCACAGUCUGAAUUUCUGAUAUUUUGUUGAAUGUUCUUUGAACAUAUCUCAACCUCUUGAAUGAAUAUAUUCUGGAGCUGUUUGGCAAAACAGGCCUAUUAUUUUUCAUGUCAGAGAAGAAUUUUUUGAUUUUUGUUUCAUUUAAUUACUUACCAAUUUUGCAUAAUAAGCCCAUAUUAUUAAAAGAAAACAGUUUUGUUCUUUAUUUUUCUCUUUCCCAUCAUGAGCCAAUUUCAUUUUGCAUUUGAGAGUAACUUAGGAUUCUCUUGCCUGUUCUAAUUUGGAGGGGAGGGGAAGAGGAGUUAUAUAAGGGGGUUUUAAUCAACUCUAGAGCAUUUGGUCUUUAUUUUAGUACAGAGAGGGUAAGUUUCCACCUCCAACCAGCAAUAUAGAAACACUGUAAUACACCAUUAAUAAAUAAUAAAGGAGAUUUAAGUUCAAAAUCUAAUAAUUAAAUAUUUCUG